Molecule: long non-coding RNA, 1037 nt
Organism: Ornithorhynchus anatinus (platypus)
Lineage: Eukaryota; Metazoa; Chordata; Mammalia; Monotremata; Ornithorhynchidae
Exons: 9
Source: RefSeq, a predicted model, not a curated record
GCAACAAAAAACAACCCCCCAAAACCCACAAGUUUGCAGCUGACCCAUCUUCAAGCCAUUCUUCCACUCUGCAUUUUGUUGAGGAGCAGCAGGGAGAAAGAAGAGCCUGAUCAGAGUUGUUUGAUUACAUUAUGGGAAGAACGCUUGGGGCAGGAGAGAAGAGCUAAGGAGAAGGCCCCAUUCUGCACUCUCUACCACUGCGGAGUGAAGACAAGAAGCAGCGUGAAACCCAGCCACUCCCCGGCUUUUGGAGACAAAGACCCACUACCUGCAUGAUACCUCAGAGCUGCCAUUUCCCCUCAAAAGCAGCCCCCAUCUUGCUCAGCCGACCAAUGGAAGGUGAUGACAGAUGACAUCUUAAAGCCUUUGUUCUUCAGUUUCACUGGGCUCCAUCCCUCUCUGUCCACCGCGGUAGGAUGAGGAUCAAGAGGAGAAUACUGAGGAAGUGCCACAGGCUUUCAAAGACUCCAUCUUUUCUAGAAGAGAAAUAAUUGAGGAAACUAUUUUCUGUUCCUGGCAAGAAUAGUUGACAAGAUCACAAGGAGCAAGAAACUGAGGAGAUCGAGUAAUAAGGAAUCAAUGGUGUGCUCACCACGGGACUGAUGAAAGGGAAAUAAAUGACGGCCCUGUUUUCCUUCCUUGUGAAGAGUGUGGCAGCUUCUCUGAGUCAUGACAUACACCCACAAAGGCUAAUCAACAGGCAAAAGAAAAGAAUUGGUUUGGCACUGAAUCAGAGGAAAGGAUGCCAGUUGACCUCUCUUCAGAGUCAAGGCCACCAUAUAAUUUACCUUCCAAUUAGAACUCGAAGUUGAAGUUACUGAAGCUUCUCGGUGACUGAACAUUUUCCAAACCUGAAGACAAACUGGAAAAACAAUGAAUGAGAUGACUGGAUUGCUGAAUUCAGAUACCACUGAUCGACUGAUUGAGCCUCAUUCCUGACCGGCUCUGAACUUGGGAAAGCUUUAGCUCUAAUGGACUGUGAGCUGCAAGGAGCCUGAAAUUCUACUCCCUUCGUGGCAUAGUGGGUAAAGCACAGA